AUACUUACCUGGCAGAGGAGAUACCAUGAUCACGAAGGUGGCUUUCCCAGGGUGAGGCUCAUCCAUUUCACUGCGGGUGUGCUGACCCCUGCGAUUUCCCCAAAUGUGGGAAACUCGACCACACAAUUUGUGGUAGUGGGGGACUGUGUUCACGCUUUCCCCUG
Chelonoidis abingdonii (Abingdon island giant tortoise) is the source of this 164-nucleotide small nuclear RNA. Its record names the gene U1. It matches the Rfam family "U1 spliceosomal RNA". Rfam says of the family: U1 is a small nuclear RNA (snRNA) component of the spliceosome (involved in pre-mRNA splicing). Its 5' end forms complementary base pairs with the 5' splice junction, thus defining the 5' donor site of an intron. Lineage: Eukaryota; Metazoa; Chordata; Testudines; Testudinidae. The record is from Ensembl.